AAGGGGGCCCUGGGCCCCUUUUGUUGGAAAAAAUUUGGUUGAUUAUAUAGGGAAUCACUGAAGCUUGACUGGAACCCCCCCCUUAUGAAAAGUUCCAGAUCCGCCACUGGUUUUGUAGAUAAGUUAGUGUACAGGUCAUAUAUUUAACUUCAAAAUGUCAUUAACGCAAAAUCUCCCCCUAUGCUGUCAAGGCUGAGAGGAAUUUCUCACUCUUUGAGGUUUCAGAUGUUGGAAAGUAUGUAGUAUUUGUUAGUGUUGUUGGUAUGUUGUCACAUUGUGUUCUCUGCAUCUUCUUUUACCUUAAGGAAGCUUGCUCGUCAUGUUUUGGAAUUUUGGUAAGAUUUUCAGAAUCCUCUAGUUUUGUCCAUUUGAAUGCAUUAACAAAUUAAGCCUGGUGACCCC
This 402-nucleotide long non-coding RNA is filed under the name Mytilus galloprovincialis (Mediterranean mussel). The record is from RNAcentral. Lineage: Eukaryota; Metazoa; Mollusca; Bivalvia; Mytilida; Mytilidae.